GCUGGGCAUGGUGGCUCAUGCCUGUAAUCCCAGCACUUUGGGAGGCUGAGGUGGGCGGAUCACCUGAGGUCAGGAGUUCAAGACAAGCCUGGCCAACAUGGUGAAACCCCAUCUCUA
RNAcentral lists this non-coding RNA (117 nucleotides) under Chlorocebus sabaeus (green monkey). Lineage: Eukaryota; Metazoa; Chordata; Mammalia; Primates; Cercopithecidae. The record is from Rfam by way of RNAcentral.